AACCAUAGAAACCUGCGGAGUACCUGCGGAGGGAUCAUUACCGAGUUUACAACUCCCAAACCCCUGUGAACAUACCUAUACGUUGCCUCGGCGGAUCAGCCCGCGCCCUGUAAAAAGGGACGGCCCGCCCGAGGACCCUAAACUCUGUUUUUAGUGGAACUUCUGAGUAAAACAAACAAAUAAAUCAAAACUUUUAACAAUGGAUCU
RNAcentral lists this unclassified non-coding RNA (207 nucleotides) under soil metagenome. RNAcentral describes it as "partial contains 5.8S ribosomal RNA, internal transcribed spacer 2, and large subunit ribosomal RNA". The record is from RNAcentral.